Molecule: ribosomal RNA, 253 nt
Filed under: uncultured bacterium
Lineage: Bacteria
Description: partial 16S ribosomal RNA
Rfam family: Bacterial small subunit ribosomal RNA
Source: RNAcentral
UACGAGGGGGGCAAGCGUUGUUCGGAAUUAUUGGGCGUAAAGGGUGCGUAGGCGGUGCGGUAAGUCUGUUGUGAAAUCUCCGGGCUCAACUCGGAGUCUGCAUCAGAAACUGCCGUGCUGGAGUGUGGGAGAGGUGAGUGGAAUUCCCGGUGUAGCGGUGAAAUGCGUAGAGAUCGGGAGGAACACCUGCGGCGAAAGCGGCUCACUGGACCAUAACUGACGCUGAGGCACGAAAGCCAGGGGAGCAAACGGG